UACGCAGGCGGAAAAUUAAGUCAGAGGUGAAAUCCCACAGCUCAACUGUGGAACUGCCUUUGAUACUGGUUGUCUUGAGUUAUAGUGAAGUAGAUAGAAUAUGUAGUGUAGCGGUGAAAUGCAUAGAUAUUACAUAGAAUACCGAUUGCGAAGGCAGUCUACUAACUGUAUACUGACGCUAAUGGACGAAAGCGUGGGGAGCGAACAGGAUUAGAUACCCUGGUAGUCC
RNAcentral lists this ribosomal RNA (229 nucleotides) under uncultured bacterium. RNAcentral describes it as "partial 16S ribosomal RNA". It matches the Rfam family "Bacterial small subunit ribosomal RNA", at positions 568 to 796 of the family's 1533-position model. The record is from RNAcentral.